This 467-nucleotide ribosomal RNA is filed under the name uncultured bacterium. RNAcentral describes it as "partial 16S ribosomal RNA". It matches the Rfam family "Bacterial small subunit ribosomal RNA", at positions 28 to 507 of the family's 1533-position model. The record is from RNAcentral.
GAUGAACGCUGACAGAAUGCUUAACACAUGCGAGUCAACUUGAAUUUGGGUUUUUAACUUAGGUUUGGGUGGCGGACGGGUGAGUAACGCGUAAAGAACUUGCCUCACAGCUAGGGACAACAUUUGGAAACGAAUGCUAAUACCUAAUAUUAUGAUAAUAGGGCAUCCUAUAAUUAUGAAAGCUAUAAGCGCUGUGAGAGAGCUUUGCGUCCCAUUAGCUAGUUGGAGAGGUAACGGCUCACCAAGGCGAUGAUGGGUAGCCGGCCUGAGAGGGUGAUCGGCCACAAGGGGACUGAGACACGGCCCUUACUCCUACGGGAGGCAGCAGUGGGGAAUAUUGGACAAUGGACCGAGAGUCUGAUCCAGCAAUUCUGUGUGCACGAUGAGGUUUUUCGGAAUGUAAAGUGCUUUCAGUUGGGAAGAAACAAAUGACGGUACCAACAGAAGAAGUGACGGCUAAAUACGUG